AAGGGCACCACAAGAACGCGUGGAGCAUGUGGCUUAAUUUGACUCAACGCGGGAAAUCUUACCGGGUCCGGACACACUGAGGAUUGACAGAUAUACGACCAGUGUUCGCUUCGGCGUCUCUGCUCUGAAAGAUGCUAGUUCUUUCCUGAUUAUGUGAUAGGUGGUGCAUGGCCGUUCUUAGUUCGUGGAAUGAUCUGUCUGCUUAAUUGCGUAUCAAUAUACCAAACCUAAUAUACCCGUAAAACCACCAGGUUCGUGACCCCCCUUCGGGGCGUGUGUCGCACUCCUGCUAUACCCACAGGUCUCAGAUAGCAACCAACGUGACCGUACUCUAUUGUUGCAGUGAAAUAGUGGGUGGUUUCGGCGGCCCCCACCCCCUGCUUAUCGUAUCUUCGCUUCGGCGGAGUUAUACACAUUAAACUAUAGAGACCGCUGUUUCUUCUUUAAACCAGAGGAAGGAUACGGCAAUAACAGGUCUGUGAUGCCCUCAGAUGUUCCGGGCUGCACACGUGCUACAAUGAUCAUUGCACUGUGCAUCUAACCCAAUGCGCGCGGACGCCACGCUUUGUUCGGUUCGCCGAAUGGAAUGUUGAUUGCGACCGCGCCGAACCUACUUCGAAAGUAACAUUUCUCAGUGGGUAAUCCAUUAGAAGUAAUGACUCGCAUAGACCAUGGCACACAAAAUGUACGCGCAGGUCUACCCGGCUCGCCUUUGUGUGAGUGCAGUGCGUAGCUUGUUGUUUCGUACGUGCCACCUCGUAUUAAUUCGUACGUGGGGACAGAUCAUUGUUUAAUUGUUGGUCUCGGUCUUAACUAGGAAUGCCUUGUACGGGUCUUUGGUUCAACAUACCACCCGGAAUACGUCCCUGCCCUUUGUACACACCGCCCGUCGCUCUUACCGAUGGAUUAUACUAUGAAUCUAUAGGACUGCCAAAGCUGCGGCUCGCCGCGCUUAGUGGAAAUAUAUAUGAAUAGUGUGAUCUAAAGGAAAGAGAAGUCGUAACAAGGCAUCGGUAGGUGAACCUGCAGAAGGAUCA
This 1037-nucleotide ribosomal RNA is filed under the name Ammonia sp. RNAcentral's name for it is "SSU rRNA". It matches the Rfam family "Eukaryotic small subunit ribosomal RNA", at positions 1160 to 1828 of the family's 1831-position model. Lineage: Eukaryota; Foraminifera; Rotaliida; Rotaliidae. The record is from RNAcentral.